AGGGUUUGAUUCUGGCUCAGGAUGAACGCUAGCUACAGGCUUAACACAUGCAAGUCGAGGGGCAUCAGGAAGAAAGCUUGCUUUCUUUGCUGGCGACCGGCGCACGGGUGAGUAACGCGUAUGCAACUUACCUAUCAGAGGGGGAUAACCCGGCGAAAGUCGGACUAAUACCGCAUGAAGCAGGGGCCCCGCAUGGGGAUAUUUGCUAAAGAUUCAUCGCUGAUAGAUAGGCAUGCGUUCCAUUAGGCAGUUGGCGGGGUAACGGCCCACCAAACCGACGAUGGAUAGGGGUUCUGAGAGGAAGGUCCCCCACAUUGGUACUGAGACACGGACCAA
This 336-nucleotide ribosomal RNA is filed under the name uncultured bacterium. RNAcentral's name for it is "bacterial SSU rRNA". It matches the Rfam family "Bacterial small subunit ribosomal RNA", at positions 8 to 334 of the family's 1533-position model. The record is from RNAcentral.